AGGGAAUCUUCCGCAAUGGACGAAAGUCUGACGGAGCAACGCCGCGUGAGUGAUGAAGGUUUUCGGAUCGUAAAGCUCUGUUGCCAGGGAAGAACGUCUUGGAGAGUAACUGCUCUGAGAGUGACGGUACCUGAGAAGAAAGCCCCGGCUAACUACGUACCAGCAGCCGCGGUAAUACGUAGGGGGCGAGCGUUGUCCGGAAUUAUUGGGCGUAAAGCGCGCGCAGGCGGCUGUUUAAGUCUGGUGUUUAAUCCUGGGGCUCAACCCCGGGUCGCACUGGAAACUGGACAGCUUGAGUGCAGAAGAGGAGAGUGGAAUUCCACGUGUAGCGGUGAAAUGCGUAGAGAUGUGGAGGAACACCAGUGGCGAAGGCGACUCUCUGGGCUGUAACUGACGCUGAGGCGCGAAAGCGUGGGGAGCAAAC
RNAcentral lists this ribosomal RNA (424 nucleotides) under uncultured bacterium. RNAcentral's name for it is "bacterial SSU rRNA". It matches the Rfam family "Bacterial small subunit ribosomal RNA", at positions 356 to 773 of the family's 1533-position model. The record is from RNAcentral.